Molecule: ribosomal RNA, 425 nt
Filed under: uncultured bacterium
Lineage: Bacteria
Description: bacterial SSU rRNA
Rfam family: Bacterial small subunit ribosomal RNA
Source: RNAcentral
GGGGAAUUUUGGACAAUGGGGGAAACCCUGAUCCAGCCAUCCCGCGUGUAUGAUGAAGGCCUUCGGGUUGUAAAGUACUUUUGGCAGAGAAGAAAAGGUACCUCCUAAUACGAGGUACUGCUGACGGUAUCUGCAGAAUAAGCACCGGCUAACUACGUGCCAGCAGCCGCGGUAAUACGUAGGGUGCAAGCGUUAAUCGGAAUUACUGGGCGUAAAGCGUGUGUAGGCGGUUCGGAAAGAAAGAUGUGAAAUCCCAGGGCUCAACCUUGGAACUGCAUUUUUAACUGCCGAGCUAGAGUAUGUCAGAGGGGGGUAGAAUUCCACGUGUAGCAGUGAAAUGCGUAGAUAUGUGGAGGAAUACCGAUGGCGAAGGCAGCCCCCUGGGAUAAUACUGACGCUCAGACACGAAAGCGUGGGGAGCAAAC